GAGAGAGAGAGAGAGAGAGACAUCUGUAGUUGUGUGUGACUCAUGACAAACGGCAUUCAAUAUUAGAUAAAGUUUAUUAUGUUAUCAAAGUCUGACAAUAAAAUAUGCAAAAAUCUAUAACUCAGUCAUUCAUACACAAAGAGGAAAAUAUAUAAAAUGCUGGGUCUCACCAGAUCAUGUUCCAUACAAAAUACUGUUAAGUUUAGAGCAGCAAAGUAACUGCCAAACAUUCCCUGAAUUUUAGAGGGUCUUGAAUACACCUUGCUCCAAGAAAUAUCUUAAUACCAAAUAUUCCUUCCUUUGGCCUGCAACUCCUUUGCAAUUAUUGCUUGAUAUUAAAAUCUUCUGUUCCAAGCAGAAUCACAUAGUGACCCUGCAGCAGCACUUUAGUAACAGCUGAAGUUCUCUCUUUACAUUUUGUUAGAAAUAAAAAAUACAUUUUGGUCCUUAACUACUUUUGGUUUCUGAAAAUAUCCUGAAAAUGAAGAUUAGGAGAAAAAUUGACAUUCACAAAUGGUAAGUAAUUAGCAUAACUCAGAAGGAAUUUCAGCAAAUUACACCUUUCAAACCAGCGAAGCAAAGCACCUGAGGUACUUUACUUUAUUUUCCUCUUUCCAGCAAUAAUUAUUUCCUCAGAUUAGUUUCUCCACAAGAAUGUAGAAUACUUAAGACUGCAUACUUUAACAGUCUUACAGCCAACCCGAAGAAUAGCUCUGUGUAAACUUGAAAGCUUGUCUUUCACUAACGGAAGUUGGUCCAAGAGAUAUUACAUGUCACCCAUCUUGACUAAUAUCCUGGGACCAACAUGGCUAUAAAAACACUGCAAACAACCCUACUAAAGUGAUUCUAAAUAGACUUGGUUUGCCCUCUAAUGCAGAGGGUCACACAAUAAAGAAAGACUUCUAGUAGAAAAGGGAAAUGCACAAUGUAACUACUUCCACCUUUUGGGAUGAAUACCCCUGUAUUUCAGGUACUCCAUUUAUUUCACACUGAGGACAUCUCUAUCCUGGGAUUGCACGGUAGACAAAAGAGCAGGGCUCAGGAGGAUUUGAUGGAAAAUGAGAAAUCAGACUUGUGAUCUGUCUUACAAAGCACCCCCAACCAAAGGGGAAAAAAUCUAAAGCAUGAAGCCAGCAGCCUUAGACUCUUGAUGCUAAAUCAUCAACUUACUAAAGUUAAGGACAACUGGAUUCUCUUCAAUUUUUCCAAGACAUCAAAUAAGGAACUUCAGAAUUCCCCCAGGAGUAAAGAGUGUAAGUAACCCAGAAGAAAGUAAACAGGAUGCUCCUAUACAUGAACAAGUGCACUUUCUGAACACCUACAUAAAAAAUACCACCCAUGCUGUACCAAAAAAAAAUAUAUACAUAUACAUAUAUACACACACACACACACACACACCAUCCUGCAAAAUGCAGUACAUAUACCAAGUCAACAGCUAUACAAUGCCUUGAAAUACCACCCAAAGUGUGCAGCAAGAAUAUGAAUUAACCAAAAGAAAAAGGGAGAGGAAAAAAAAGAUUUUAAUUGUUAAGUUUCAAAAAAUAUGCUGUAUUUUUAAACUCACUAGAUGGCACUAUUGAUUCUCUAGUCCAGUAAGGAGGGCUGCAGCACAAUACCGCUGGUGCCCUAAUUAAGCUUGCCAGCAUUUCCAUACAAUUGCAGCUGACGGUCAACAUACUACCACCUGAUUAAGAAAGGAAACCGGAAGAGAGUAGAGUGAACACCACAAAGUCCUGAAGAUGCUCCUGUCACAUUGCUGAGGAAAAUGUUUUCUAUCUUGUCUUUAACACUGAAGUUGUUCCUUGUAGCUCUUGUUUGAAACCAGUUAAUAGACUUGUGCUUAAACACG
Molecule: long non-coding RNA, 1849 nt
Organism: Malaclemys terrapin pileata
Lineage: Eukaryota; Metazoa; Chordata; Testudines; Emydidae
Exons: 3
Source: RefSeq, a predicted model, not a curated record